AGCAACAGUAUGAAAGUGUUCAGCCAUUACUGUUUCAAAUAUGUAAUCUUAAGGCUUCGUUCAAGGUCAUUGCUUAAUCCAAUAUAUUUUUUCAGUUUUGUCUCGUGGAUGGUUAAAAAUUGGAGAACAAGUGAUAAAGUGGAGGAGCCGCUGUCAAGAGAACCGGUUCAAAAGUUGACGUCGUCUAGUAUUGACCCUCUUUUGAAAAUUGAAAACAUUGCGACUUGUUUGUCCAGAAAGGAACCGUGCAACAAUUAAAUUGUUCAGAAGUGCAAUGCAAAUAAACAGAUUCCCCUGAUACGACAUAUAUUCUUUUCAUCGUAUGUAGAACAAUUUCUAAUUAGCUACUGAAAAAGUUUGUAAUUAGUUUUUUUUUUUCAAUU
Molecule: long non-coding RNA, 383 nt
Filed under: Androctonus crassicauda
Lineage: Eukaryota; Metazoa; Arthropoda; Arachnida; Scorpiones; Buthidae
Source: RNAcentral